This 292-nucleotide ribosomal RNA is filed under the name uncultured bacterium. Its description in RNAcentral is "partial 16S ribosomal RNA". It matches the Rfam family "Bacterial small subunit ribosomal RNA", at positions 505 to 796 of the family's 1533-position model. The record is from RNAcentral.
GUGUCAGCCGCCGCGGUAAUACGAAGGGGGCUAGCGUUGUUCGGAAUUACUGGGCGUAAAGGGCGUGUAGGCGGUCCGCUAAGUCAGGUGUGAAAUUCCUGGGCUCAACCCAGGACGUGCGCCUGAGACUGACGGACUUGAGUCCGGGAGAGGAUGGUGGAACUCCCAGUGUAGAGGUGAAAUUCGUAGAUAUUGGGAAGAACACCCGUGGCGAAGGCGGCCAUCUGGACCGGUACUGACGCUAAGGCGCGACAGCGUGGGGAGCAAACAGGAUUAGAUACCCGGGUAGUCC